GAUGAAGAACGUAGCGAAAUGCGAUAAGUAAUGCGAAUUGCAGAAUUCAGCGAGUCAUCGAAUCUUUGAACGCACAUUGCGCCCUCUGGUAUUCCGGGGGGCAUGCCUGUUCGAGCGUCAUUACAACCCUCAAGCUUUGCUUGGUAUUGGACAUUGCCAGUUUCUGGCAGGUCUUAAAAUCAGUGGCGGUGCCAUUUGGCUUCAAGCGUAGUAAUUCUUCUCGCUUUGGAGAUCCAGGUGGUUACUUGCCAAUAACCCCCAAUUUUUUCAGGUUGACCUCGGAUCAGGUAGGGAUACCCGCUGAACUUAAGCAUAUCAAUAAGCGGAGGA
This 330-nucleotide unclassified non-coding RNA is filed under the name soil metagenome. RNAcentral's name for it is "partial contains 5.8S ribosomal RNA, internal transcribed spacer 2, and large subunit ribosomal RNA". The stretch from base 1 to 120 matches the Rfam family "5.8S ribosomal RNA", at positions 35 to 154 of the family's 154-position model. The record is from RNAcentral.